AACGAACGCUGGCGGCAGGCCUAACACAUGCAAGUCGAGCGCGCCUUCGGGUGAGCGGCGGACGGGUGAGUAACGCGUGGGAAUAUGCCCUUCUCUACGGAAUAGUCCUGGGAAACUGGGGGUAAUACCGUAUACGCCCUUUGGGGGAAAGAUUUAUCGGGGAAGGAUUAGCCCGCGUUGGAUUAGGUGGUUGGUGGGGUAAUGGCCUACCAAGCCGACGAUCCAUAGCUGGUUUGAGAGGAUGAUCAGCCACACUGGGACUGAGACACGGCCCAGACUCCUACGGGAGGCAGCAGUGGGGAAUCUUAGACAAUGGGGGCAACCCUGAUCUAGCCAUGCCGCGUGAGUGAUGAAGGCCUUAGGGUUGUAAAGCUCUUUCAGCUGGGAAGAUAAUGACGGUACCAGCAGAAGAAGCCCCGGCUAACUCCGUG
RNAcentral lists this ribosomal RNA (431 nucleotides) under uncultured bacterium. RNAcentral describes it as "partial 16S ribosomal RNA". It matches the Rfam family "Bacterial small subunit ribosomal RNA", at positions 29 to 507 of the family's 1533-position model. The record is from RNAcentral.